GACGAACCGUGCGAACGUUGUUCGGAAUCACUGGGCUUAAAGGGCGCGUAGGCGGGCUUAAAAGUCAGGGGUGAAAUCCCGCGGCUCAACCGUGGAAGUGCCUCUGAUACUGUAAGUCUCGAGGGAGGUAGGGGCGUGCGGAACUUCCGGUGGAGCGGUGAAAUGCGUAGAUAUCGGAAGGAACACCGGUGGCGAAAGCGGCGCGCUGGACCUCUUCUGACGCUGAGGCGCGAAAGCCAGGGGAGCAAACGGG
This 253-nucleotide ribosomal RNA is filed under the name uncultured bacterium. Its description in RNAcentral is "partial 16S ribosomal RNA". It matches the Rfam family "Bacterial small subunit ribosomal RNA", at positions 524 to 776 of the family's 1533-position model. The record is from RNAcentral.